GACGAACGCUGGCGGCGUGCUUAACACAUGCAAGUCGAACGCUGAAGACCUGGCUUUUGUUGGGUUGGAUGAGUGGCGAACGGGUGAGUAACACGUGAGUAACCUGCCCUCUUCUUUGGGAUAACGCCCGGAAACGGGUGCUAAUACUGGAUAUUCACUGAUCUUCGCAUGGGGGUUGGUGGAAAGGUUUGUUCUGGUGGGGGAUGGGCUCGCGGCCUAUCAGCUUGUUGGUGGGGUGAUGGCCUACCAAGGCUUUGACGGGUAGCCGGCCUGAGAGGGUGACCGGUAACAUUGGGACUGGGAUACGGCCCAGACUCCUACGGGAGGCAGCAGUGGGGAAUAUUGCACAAUGGGCGAAAGCCUGAUGCAGCGACGCCGCGUGAGGGAUGGAGGCCUUCGGGUUGUAAACCUCUUUCGCUCAUGGUCAAGCCGCAACUGUGGGUUGUGGUGAGGGUAGUGGGUAAAGAAGCGCCGGCUAACUACGUG
RNAcentral lists this ribosomal RNA (486 nucleotides) under uncultured bacterium. RNAcentral describes it as "partial 16S ribosomal RNA". It matches the Rfam family "Bacterial small subunit ribosomal RNA", at positions 28 to 507 of the family's 1533-position model. The record is from RNAcentral.